UCCCUGGUGGCUCAGACAGUAAAGUAUCUGCCUGUGACGCAGGAGACCAGGGUUCGAUCCCUGGGUUGGGAA
RNAcentral lists this transfer RNA (72 nucleotides) under Bos taurus (domestic cattle). It matches the Rfam family "tRNA". Rfam says of the family: Transfer RNA (tRNA) molecules are approximately 80 nucleotides in length. Their secondary structure includes four short double-helical elements and three loops (D, anti-codon, and T loops). Further hydrogen bonds mediate the characteristic L-shaped molecular structure. tRNAs have two regions of fundamental functional importance: the anti-codon, which is responsible for specific mRNA codon recognition, and the 3' end, to which the tRNAs corresponding amino acid is attached (by aminoacyl-tRNA synthetases). tRNAs cope with the degeneracy of the genetic code in two manners: having more than one tRNA (with a specific anti-codon) for a particular amino acid; and 'wobble' base-pairing, i.e. permitting non-standard base-pairing at the 3rd anti-codon position. Lineage: Eukaryota; Metazoa; Chordata; Mammalia; Artiodactyla; Bovidae. The record is from Rfam by way of RNAcentral. RNAcentral also lists the same sequence under 4 other names.